AUUGAACGCUGGCGGCAUGCUUUACACAUGCAAGUCGAACGGUAACAGGCCGCAAGGUGCUGACGAGUGGCGAACGGGUGAGUAAUGCAUCGGAACGUGCCCCGUCGUGGGGGAUAACUACUCGAAAGAGUAGCUAAUACCCCAUACGAUCUAUGGAUGAAAGCGGGGGACCGUAAGGCCUCGCGCGCUUUGAGCUGCCGAUGUCAGAUUAGGUAGUUGGUGGGGUAAAGGCUCACCAAGCCAACGAUCUGUAGCUGGUCUGAGAGGACGACCAGCCACACUGGGACUGAGACACGGCCCAGACUCCUACGGGAGGCAGCAGUGGGGAAUUUUGGACAAUGGGCGCAAGCCUGAUCCAGCAAUGCCGCGUGCAGGAAGAAGGCCUUCGGGUUGUAAACUGCUUUUGUACGGAACGAAACGGAGCUGGUUAAUACCCGGGGCUAAUGACGGUACCGUAAGAAUAGGCACCGGCUAACUACGUG
RNAcentral lists this ribosomal RNA (482 nucleotides) under uncultured bacterium. Its description in RNAcentral is "partial 16S ribosomal RNA". It matches the Rfam family "Bacterial small subunit ribosomal RNA", at positions 30 to 507 of the family's 1533-position model. The record is from RNAcentral.